Molecule: ribosomal RNA, 459 nt
Filed under: uncultured bacterium
Lineage: Bacteria
Description: bacterial SSU rRNA
Rfam family: Bacterial small subunit ribosomal RNA
Source: RNAcentral
AGAGUUUGAUCAUGGCUCAGAUUGAACGCUGGCGGCAGGCCUAAGACAUGCAAGUCGAGCGAGAAAGCCCUUCGGGGUGAGUACAGCGGCGGACGGGUGAGUAACGCGUAGGAAUCUACCUAGUAGUGGGGGACAACUCGUGGAAACGCGAGCUAAUACCGCAUACGCCCUACGGGGGAAAGCGGGGGAUCUUCGGACCUCGUGCUAUUAGAUGAGCCUGCGUAAGAUUAGCUAGUUGGUGGGGUAAUGGCCUACCAAGGCGACGAUCUUUAGCUGGUCUGAGAGGAUGAUCAGCCACACCGGGACUGAGACACGGCCCGGACUCCUACGGGAGGCAGCAGUCGGGAAUAUUGCGCAAUGGGCGAAAGCCUGACGCAGCCAUGCCGCUUGUGUGAAGAAGGCCCUAGGGUUGUAAAGCACUUUCAAUUGGGAGGAAAUAGCUAAUNGGUUAAUAUCCUU